RNAcentral lists this transfer RNA (72 nucleotides) under Anoxybacillus flavithermus. Its description in RNAcentral is "tRNA-Glu". It matches the Rfam family "tRNA". From Rfam's summary of the family: Transfer RNA (tRNA) molecules are approximately 80 nucleotides in length. Their secondary structure includes four short double-helical elements and three loops (D, anti-codon, and T loops). Further hydrogen bonds mediate the characteristic L-shaped molecular structure. tRNAs have two regions of fundamental functional importance: the anti-codon, which is responsible for specific mRNA codon recognition, and the 3' end, to which the tRNAs corresponding amino acid is attached (by aminoacyl-tRNA synthetases). tRNAs cope with the degeneracy of the genetic code in two manners: having more than one tRNA (with a specific anti-codon) for a particular amino acid; and 'wobble' base-pairing, i.e. permitting non-standard base-pairing at the 3rd anti-codon position. RNAcentral also lists the same sequence under 1 other name. Lineage: Bacteria; Bacillati; Bacillota; Bacilli; Caryophanales; Anoxybacillaceae. The record is from RNAcentral.
GGCUCGUUGGUCAAGUGGUUAAGACACCGCCCUUUCACGGCGGUAACACGGGUUCGAAUCCCGUACGGGUCA